Molecule: ribosomal RNA, 505 nt
Filed under: uncultured bacterium
Lineage: Bacteria
Description: bacterial SSU rRNA
Rfam family: Bacterial small subunit ribosomal RNA
Source: RNAcentral
GAUCAUGGCUCAGGAUGAACGCUAGCUACAGGCUUAACACAUGCAAGUCGAGGGGAAACGACAUCGAAAGCUUGCUUUUGAUGGGCGUCGACCGGCGCACGGGUGAGUAACGCGUAUCCAACCUGCCCACCACUUGGGGAUAACCUUGCGAAAGUAAGACUAAUACCCGAUGAUAUCUCUAGACGACAUCUGAAAGGGAUUAAAGAUUUAUCGGUGAUGGAUGGGGAUGCGUCUGAUUAGCUUGUUGGCGGGGUAACGGCCCACCAAGGCUACGAUCAGUAGGGGUUCUGAGAGGAAGGUCCCCCACAUUGGAACUGAGACACGGUCCAAACUCCUACGGGAGGCAGCAGUGAGGAAUAUUGGUCAAUGGGCGAGAGCCUGAACCAGCCAAGUAGCGUGCGGGACGACGGCCCUAUGGGUUGUAAACCGCUUUUGAUUGGGAACAAAGAGCGCCACGUGUGGUGCGUUGCGUGUACCUUUCGAAUAAGCAUCGGCUAAUUCCGUG